UUGCUCCAUUCCCUUUAGAGAAUGUGGUAGCAGUAUGUGAUAAGUCUGAAAGAAGACAAAAUUAUUACCAUGAAGGUAUCAAUGAAUAUGGACGUGUCAAAGAAUUAAAAUUCCGUCCAAUUGAAUUUGCUCCAUUCCCUUUAGAGAAUGUGAUACCAUUAUGUGAUAAGUCUGAAAGAAGACAAAAUUAUUACCGUGAAGGUAUCAAUGGAUGAGGACGUG
Molecule: long non-coding RNA, 222 nt
Filed under: Nicotiana benthamiana
Lineage: Eukaryota; Viridiplantae; Streptophyta; Magnoliopsida; Solanales; Solanaceae
Description: long non-coding RNA (NBEN_LNC024957)
Source: RNAcentral